GGUCCCUGAAAUGGCAAUUAAGUAUUAUAAAGUUACGAACAGCUUUUCUUCUCCAAAUUAUUCCAUUCUACUAAUAUUAUAACAAAAAGUGAAUAAAUGAAAAUAUAGCAAAAAAGAAACCAUAAAUUUUAACGAAAAUCCAAGUACAGAGAAUACUUUUAGCAAAUUAUAGUAACAUUCAAGGACGCCGAUCCAAAAGUAUGGCUCUAGUAGAGGUGAUCCGUGAUCUAUUAUACACAAGUGAAAGGAGAGGCAUAGACUCUCUCAAGUUCUUUAGAACAAUGUUUUGAAACAUUAGUAAAAAAAAGAUCUUUUUAUUAAACGAGAUGGCAAUUUUAAAAUCAAUGAUAACCAAUUGGAGCUGGAGCUUCCUUUAGCUCACGACCUUGGUAGUGAAUGUCCUGCAAAGUAAACAACUUUCAUUAAUCACACAAGACAAUGCAAGGGUUAGUUAGGUUUUGGUCAACUUUCAAUAACAGAACAACACUUACAGAUGCAAAAUGGUUAACGUCACGGUGAUGAGCCUCGUCAGCACGGACCACCAUCACCACAUCACGAAGGGUCGCAUCAGCAGGGAGCCUCCAGUAAUCAAUAGCGAUAGCCGGAGCAGGUACGUUCUCGAUGUUACCUUUGUCAAGUUCCUUGAGGAACUCAGUGUACGAGUGGAUAGCUUCUUCUUCAAGGUACCCAACCAUGCGGUGAGCAAACUUCGGGGAGAUCAAGUAACCGAGGAAAUAGGCGUUGAAGAAGACUCCUUGGACGGUGAUGACAAGAGCUCGCUCGUACCAUUUGGGUUUAGCGACUUCCAUGAACGUCAUGAGAUGCAUCCUCUCGUUCUCUGCUUCCUCGAGAAGAGCUUUGAUCCAUCCUCCGCUUUGCUCAAAGCGCCUGAGAGAUUUGCAGUGGAGUAACAUUCCUCCUACCAUUCCGGGCACUGCUGCUACAGUCUCGAGCAUCAUAGCUCGGCAUCCAUAUCUCCUCUGCGUUAAUCAAAUACAACGAUUCAUAGCAUCAAAUAUCAUAUCAAAGUAAUGGAGAAUAUUUGCAGUGGAGUAAUAUUCCUCCUACCAUAUAAAAUGUGAAAUAUUAUAAUAGUUCUAGAUGGUUUAAACAAACAAAUAAAUGCUAUAAUCACAACUGAAAGAACAACAAGUGGACAUAAUACAAACGCACAACAAUAUGAUAUAAAUGAAAAAGUUCCAAAAGAGAAAGUAAUAUUUUAAUAAUUGCUAUAAAAGAGGUUUAUACGCAAUCAAUGACGAUUUGGAACGUGUUUCCAAUUUCGGUUACAAGAAAUAUUAAAGCGGAGACGGAGGAAGAAAGUGUACCUGGAAGAAGAGAUCGGUAGGCCAACGAAGAGAUUUAACAGUCCAAUAAGCCAAUCUGUCAAGAAACCUUUUCAUAAGAGAUGCGACCAUCAUUAAUCUCAACUUCUUAACUGGAGUUCUUAGCUUAGAGUUAUUAACUUUUUUUAGAUUUUAACUAAGAUAAGCUAAGAACCGUCUAUUAAAUAAGAAAUAUAAGAAUCGUCAUUUAAUUGAAAAAUGUAAAAAAAACCAAAAAAAUGUCAAAUCAUGAGUUAUGAACCUCCGCUAAGAAACUGGAGUUAAUCAUACAUAGAGUACAAGAUAAAAUCUGUUAGAAAGCCACCGUGAUCCCGAAGGACACGGACAAACACCGAUGAAGACGAACCUAAAAGUCUAGCCAUCACCGGAAAGACGCACUCCCGGAGGGAGAGACAACACACAAACCAUUCCCAACUUGUAAUCGUUCGUAUACUGUCCCGAGAAACCUAAAUCCAAAUCAAUGGAGAGCAUCCAGAACAUGGCUAUCGUAAUCAAACUGAUGUUUAGGGAUUUUCCCCAAACACAGAAGAAAAAUUGAUUAAAACAUCGAUGAUGAUGUGCUAUAUCUGUAAACAAAAGAAAGAAUGAAGAAACUAGAGACAAUCAUGGACAUACAAUUUUGUAGCAGACAAUUUAAACGUCCUAAUUUGUAUUGAUAGGAUGCAAAAUAUUUAUUUUUACGGUGGGUCCCUGAAAUGGCAAUUAAGUAUUAUAAAGUUACGAACAGCUUUUCUUCUCCAAAUUAUUCCAUUCUACUAAUAUUAUAACAAAAAGUGAAUAAAUGAAAAUAUAGCAAAAAAGAAACCAUAAAUUUUAACGAAAAUCCAAGUACAGAGAAUACUUUUAGCAAAUUAUAGUAACAUUCAAGGACGCCGAUCCAAAAGUAUGGCUCUAGUAGAGGUGAUCCGUGAUCUAUUAUACACAAGUGAAAGGAGAGGCAUAGACUCUCUCAAGUUCUUUAGAACAAUGUUUUGAAACAUUAGUAAAAAAAAGAUCUUUUUAUUAAACGAGAUGGCAAUUUUAAAAUCAAUGAUAACCAAUUGGAGCUGG
This 2396-nucleotide long non-coding RNA is filed under the name Brassica napus (rape). RNAcentral's name for it is "long non-coding RNA (BNAP_LNC007375)". The record is from RNAcentral. Lineage: Eukaryota; Viridiplantae; Streptophyta; Magnoliopsida; Brassicales; Brassicaceae.